ACAGUCUGAAAAUCGCCUGUGGUCUUCUCCAGUGGCCUCUGGUGAGAUAACAGUGCCAACAGCAAAGGGAGCAUUUAGCUUAUUGCCCACAAGCUUUGUGUGUGGGGGAUGAAACCCGUGCUCCUAUAACU
Molecule: small nucleolar RNA, 131 nt
Organism: Crocodylus porosus (Australian saltwater crocodile)
Lineage: Eukaryota; Metazoa; Chordata; Crocodylia; Crocodylidae
Source: Ensembl